Molecule: ribosomal RNA, 484 nt
Filed under: uncultured bacterium
Lineage: Bacteria
Description: partial 16S ribosomal RNA
Rfam family: Bacterial small subunit ribosomal RNA
Source: RNAcentral
AUUGAACGCUGGCGGCAGGCCUAACACAUGCAAGUCGAGCGGAUGAAGGGAGCUUGCUCCUGGAUUCAGCGGCGGACGGGUGAGUAAUGCCUAGGAAUCUGCCUGGUAGUGGGGGAUAACGUCCGGAAACGGGCGCUAAUACCGCAUACGUCCUGAGGUAGAAAGUGGGGGAUCUUCGGACCUCGCGCUAUCAGAUGAGCCUAGGUCGGAUUAGCUAGUUGGUGGGGUAAAGGCCUACCAAGGCGACGAUCCGUAACUGGUCUGAGAGGAUGAUCAGUCACACUGGAACUGAGACACGGUCCAGACUCCUACGGGAGGCAGCAGUGGGGAAUAUUGGACAAAGGGCGAAAGCCUGAUCCAGCCAUGCCGCGUGUGUGAAGAAGGUCUUCGGAUUGUAAAGCACUUUUAGUUGGGAGGAAGAGCAGUAAGUUAAUACCUUGCUGUUUUGACGUUACCAACAGAAUAAGCACCGGCUAACUUCGUG